RNAcentral lists this ribosomal RNA (442 nucleotides) under uncultured bacterium. Its description in RNAcentral is "partial 16S ribosomal RNA". It matches the Rfam family "Bacterial small subunit ribosomal RNA", at positions 338 to 795 of the family's 1533-position model. The record is from RNAcentral.
CCUACGGGAGGCAGCAGUAGGGAAUCUUUCACAAUGGGCGAAAGCCUGAUGGAGCAACGCCGCGUGCAGGAUGAAGGCCUUCGGGUUGUAAACUGCUUUUAUAAGCGAGAAAUAUGAUGGUAACUUAUGAAUAAGGAUCGGCUAACUACGUGCCAGCAGCCGCGGUCAUACGUAGGAUCCGAGCAUUAUCCGGAGUGACUGGGUGUAAAGAGUUGCGUAGGUGACAUAAUAAGUAGCUAGUGAAAUCUGGUGGCUCAACCAUUCAGACUAUUAGCUAAACUGUUAAGCUCGAGAGCGUUAGGGGUAACUGGAAUGUCUAGUGUAGGAGUGAAAUCCGUAGAUAUUAGAAAGAACACCGAUAGCGUAGGCAGGUUACUGGGACGGUUCUGACACUAAGGCACGAAAGCGUAGGGAGCAAACGGGAUUAGAUACCCUUGUAGUC